Molecule: ribosomal RNA, 650 nt
Filed under: Vibrio sp. K1-04
Lineage: Bacteria; Pseudomonadati; Pseudomonadota; Gammaproteobacteria; Vibrionales; Vibrionaceae
Description: bacterial SSU rRNA
Rfam family: Bacterial small subunit ribosomal RNA
Source: RNAcentral
UGGAAUUCGCCNUUAGAGUUUGACCUGGCUCAGAUUGAACGCUGGCGGCAGGCCUAACACAUGCAAGUCGUGCGGAAACGAGUUAUCUGAACCUUCGGGGAACGAUAACGGCGUCGAGCGGCGGACGGGUGAGUAAUGCCUGGGAAAUUGCCCUGAUGUGGGGGAUAACCAUUGGAAACGAUGGCUAAUACCGCAUAAUAGCUUCGGCUCAAAGAGGGGGACCUUCGGGCCUCUCGCGUCAGGAUAUGCCCAGGUGGGAUUAGCUAGUUGGUGAGGUAAGGGCUCACCAAGGCAACGAUCCCUAGCUGGUCUGAGAGGAUGAUCAGCCACACUGGAACUGAGACACGGUCCAGACUCCUACGGGAGGCAGCAGUGGGGAAUAUUGCACAAUGGGCGCAAGCCUGAUGCAGCCAUGCCGCGUGUAUGAAGAAGGCCUUCGGGUUGUAAAGUACUUUCAGCAGUGAGGAAGGUUCAUGCGUUAAUAGCGUAUGGAUUUGACGUUAGCUGCAGAAGAAGCACCGGCUAACUCCGUGCCAGCAGCCGCGGUAAUACGGAGGGUGCGAGCGUUAAUCGGAAUUACUGGGCGUAAAGCGCAUGCAGGUGGUUUGUUAAGUCAGACGUGAAAGCCCGGGGCUCAACCUCGGAAUUGC